UACGUAGGGUGCGAGCGUUGUCCGGAAUUACUGGGCGUAAAGAGCUCGUAGGUGGUUUGUCGCGUUGUUCGUGAAAACUCACAGCUUAACUGUGGGCGUGCGGGCGAUACGGGCAGACUGGAGUACUGCAGGGGAGACUGGAAUUCCUGGUGUAGCGGUGGAAUGCGCAGAUAUCAGGAGGAACACCGGUGGCGAAGGCGGCUCUCUAGUACGGUACUGACGCUGAGGCGCGAAAGCCAGGGGAGCGAACGGG
This 253-nucleotide ribosomal RNA is filed under the name uncultured bacterium. Its description in RNAcentral is "partial 16S ribosomal RNA". It matches the Rfam family "Bacterial small subunit ribosomal RNA", at positions 524 to 776 of the family's 1533-position model. The record is from RNAcentral.